This is a non-coding RNA of Carica papaya (papaya), 625 nucleotides long. Lineage: Eukaryota; Viridiplantae; Streptophyta; Magnoliopsida; Brassicales; Caricaceae. The record is from RefSeq and is a predicted model, not a curated record.
AUCACAUUGAUUCAUGGCCACUAUACUUAAAAUUGGGGGUCAUAUGUAUAUUAAGCCCCCGAAUAUUUCUAUUGUUGGGACUGGGAACAUUCUUCUGAAUAAACUUGGUUGGGAUAUCAAGAAUUUGUUUCAUUUAAGUAGCUUUUAUGAUGAUUCAACUAAUGGCUUGCCAGUCCUAUCUUCUGAUAUUAGCCCCUUUUCCUGUCCAAUUUUUCCCAGGUUGAAGCAGAGAAACCGAACCCAAUGAUAUUCUUGAAAGCUUGUGACUUAUUAGGUGUACAACCUGAGGAUGCAGUGCAUGUUGGCGAUGAUCGUAGGAAUGAUCUGUGGGGUGCCAGAGAUGCAGGCUGCGACGCUUGGCUCUGGGGAAGUGAUGUCUACUCCUUCAAGGAGGUUGCUCAGAGGAUAGGAGUGAAGGUCUGAGAGCAGGAAGGAUGGGUAAUAUGUGUACAGGUGGUUGUAAUAUGUGGUGGGGUGAGGGCGAGGCAAUAAUAGCCAUAAGAAGUUCAAUAAGAUUUCUCUUUUGAAGCUUCAGUUCGCCAUAUAUAAAGGCUUAGAGCUGUGGCAUUUCUGUAAAUUAGUUCAAAAACACUUUAAUAAUAUUAAUACCCUUUUUUCAGCUUAA